RNAcentral lists this ribosomal RNA (329 nucleotides) under uncultured eukaryote. Its description in RNAcentral is "partial 18S ribosomal RNA". It matches the Rfam family "Eukaryotic small subunit ribosomal RNA", at positions 1470 to 1796 of the family's 1831-position model. The record is from RNAcentral.
CCCUUAGAUGUCCGGGGCUGCACGCGCGCUACACUGAAGGAAUCAGCGUGCUAGAAAACCUUGUUUGACAUGGCUAGGUAACCCGUUGAAAAUCUUUCGUGAUUGGGAUCGGGACUUGCAAAUGUGUCCCUUGAACGAGGAAUUCCCAGUAAGUGCGGGUCAUAAGCUCGCGCUGAUUACGUCCCUGCCCUUUGUACACACCGCCCGUCGCACCUACCGAUUGGAUGGUCCGGUGAAGCCUCGGGAUUGUGGUUCUUGCCGCUUUAUUGUGGCGUGACCGCGAGAACUUGUCUAAACCUUAUCAUCUAGAGGAAGGUGAAGUCGUAACA